This is a long non-coding RNA of Gallus gallus (chicken), 4052 nucleotides long. RefSeq lists it as uncharacterized. The record is from RefSeq and is a predicted model, not a curated record. NCBI's taxonomy places the organism in Eukaryota, Metazoa, Chordata, Aves, Galliformes, Phasianidae. The transcript has 4 exons.
UUGAACCUUCCCACCAAUACUCCAUUGCAUGUUGUUGCCAUGCAACAGAUGGCAGCAGAGGGGCACAUUCUGACCAAAUGGCACCUGACAUGGAAGUGACUAUGAAGUGGAGGCGUGUAACUGAAUUUUUCCGUGUGAUAAAAGCAGCACCCACUGACAUUCAUUGGUGCUUGCUGAAUGUUUAUGAAGACCAAACAGUGGAUGUGAGCAAGGGCAGAAGCAAAAGAGGACCUAGAGACGAUGAUGCUGGCAAAGAUACCAGGCAGAGUCACCCAAAACCCUCUGAGAAGAAUUGUGGCUUCUCGUGAUUCCCAGAGAGGCAUCAAGCUGACCAUCAGGGCACUGACCCAACGCAACACUCGGUUCCUGAAAUUCACUCCAGUGAGACAACCGAAGACAACCACAGGCAUCCAGACAAAUGCAGACAACACAAGCUAAUUUGAGCAGUAACGCAGAAAAUGAAAGGCUCAUCAUUUACCUAAUGUGAUGCUUCCUACUUGAGUAAGGAGGACCUUCUCCUCCAUCUCUUCACUUUAAAAUGAAAGUAUUUUCAGGAUAGGAUCAGGCUACAAGUUUCAGGAAGUUACUGCCUCCAGCUGCAAGUAAUCAUCUUCCCAGCCUAGACUAGUAACUACACGCACUCUUACAUCUCUGUUCCUCUGGCAAGUAAAGCAGGCUUUUGCAAAGCACUUUAAAAUGCUGAUAGGUACUUAAAAUAGGAAUGUGGUUUAAAUGAACCAGUAUUAUUUGUACUAAAGUAGACUGUAAGAGUGCACAACACACACAGCCAGUUAUUAGGUUGCAGCUGAGAGAUUCUUACAUCACACUAACUUAAUUGCUUCUCAUCACCUGGAUAAAUCUCAAGACCUGCUAAGGACACUAGUUCACCUCAAUUCAGGCUUUAAAAUAGAUUCUGCUGGGUUUGUGACUGAAGUGAGACUUUAUGAGUGGAAGUCCAACGCCUAAGAACUCCCAAGGAUCUUCACAACUCCUUUUUUUGGUAAUUUCCUCAACAGAAUACUUUGACAAGUACUGAAUAAAGAUAUCUAUUUUUUUUACUCCUUGGCAUGCAGAUCAGUAUCUUCUAUCGCUGAAGUCUCAGACCCUAGUGAAUCAUGUGAGAUACACCCCUGUGAUCCUGCUGCUGCUACUCCUACCAUCAGCUGAUGACAUCUGUGUGAGAGAGACAAGGAGUACGUGAGAACAGCUUCUCUUACACCAGCUGCCUGCACUGUGCUCCUGCCUCUGCUCCCACCAACACCAGCUCCCCAUCCUCCCAGGGUUUGGGGAAGAAAGAUUACAUUUCCAAUUGCCAACACUGAUGGAAGACUGAGAAGAGAACUUAAAGGUCACAGCCCUCUAAAGUCAGUGUAGCAGAGGUUAUUGAUAUUGUGCUUAGAAGGCCUGAGCUGAAUUGGAUAACCCAAUUUGAAAAGAGAGAAAUGCAGCAGUAUCCACAUGACAAACACCUAAUGCUUUUUGUAACAAUUUGAGAAAUAUCUUUGCUAGAAAAGACAUCAUCAGAGAGCAAUUUCAUGCUAUGCUUUCUUCUGCUCUACAAACACUGUGUUUCAGCUGAUGGACCUUGUAAGUUCAGGCUGGUAACUGUGCUCACGUGCAUCCUCACUGACCACUGAGAGGGGCUUUGCAAGAAGGAAAGUGUUUACUCACAGAUGCAGUCAGCAAAGCUAGACCAAAAGACUGUAAUGUACAUCCAGCUGAAGGUUUUUUACUUGCAGGAAAAAAUACAUACAUGGAUCUUAUAUACAAUAAACAAAUUUUCAGAUCAAAUAAAACUAAAACAUUAAAAAAAAAUAAAGAAAGCAUUUUCAUGAUGUAAAGAUACCUUGCUACUUCAAGACCUUUGAGUCUUCUUUGUGGAUUCCCAAAUGUUUUCUUAAUAGAUGUAUGAACUUUACCUAAUGUGCUUCAAAAGUAGCACUUAUGUGUGUCAUAUGAAUAUGGCAAAACCAAAAACCUCCGUAUCAUUCACCUACAAUGAUGAAAGUCUACCGAGUUUUGAAAGCUCCAAUUCUGUUAAAAAGAUGAAUAGGCUCUACCAUGCUUAAAUAGUGACAAUAAGUAUCUGAAUGGGCCUAAUGUCAGAAGAAACAAGUGACGGCCAGAAGCGUACUCAGUGGUAAACUGGUCUUCAUUUCUAGAAAUCAAGACCAAUAAAUACAUGGUAACAAUCUCACAGUUCCUUAUUUAUUCAUUCCUCAUCUGUACUUCAGUGCACUAGAUACUACAUUUCAUUUAAGAACUGGUUCCUUUAAGUAGGAAUUUUAAUAACAUUCUGGGGACGUACUUUAUUAAUCAUUAAUAUACAUUUUUGUUGCAUUGGAUUUUAGAUUAAAGUUGUUCUUAUACAUUUUUCCCUCACUUGUUGCUUUCUUCCUGCAGUUGGGUUGAAUAUAAAAGAUAUGAAUAUGGCCAACAUUUAAAAAGUUAAUUUAAAUAUAAAUGGCUCUAAAAUGGCACAGAGCUUUUUCUUUCUCCUUUCUCUCAAAGUAACAUUUGUGUUUCUGUUAUAAAAAGGAAAGUGCAACUCUCAACGACAGGUUGGUACUUGCUUAUUUCUGGUUAAAAGUGAUCAAGUGAAGAACAGCAAUUAAAAAUCAGUGAAAUCUGAUUGCAGCAAUAAGCUGCUGGAAUUCAUGUGACGGUGAUAAAAAUCUAAGUACUUUUCCAGUUUCACCAUUUCUUUUUAGACCCACUUGAACACAGCCAGUGUAUUAUCAGUAUAUUACUUGGUGUAUUACUGCCUUCAAACACAACUUAAAACAUCAAAUAUUUACCAUAGGCAAUUUAUGCUUGAGCAAUAAAGGUAGCAAGUAGAUCGUAUCUUAAGUUCUUGUCAUUGAAACAAAUCCCAGGUAAAGCUUAGCUUUGCCUGGGAGAGGUAACGCACACCGUGAUUCAGACAUAAACGGACGAACUGUUAACUGAUGACAGCUUCACUGAAGUUAAAAUUUGCUGCAAUUAAAAGAAUCAAUGAACAGAUUUUUUUCAACCUCAAGACAAGAGUCAUUUCCAGAAUUCCAGGUGUUCCUGCCUUCAGCCCUUUGUUUAAAUUCCAAGUGCAAGUUGUCAGAAGACCCAUAUGCACCGGAACUAUACACUUUGCUCUUGCAAAAAUAGGCUCAACCGGCUCAACAGCAGUAAAUGUAAGGAGCGUUAUCAGAGAUGAUAACACUGACGAAACAGUAUGUUUACUUGGCAGCGGUCAGCUUUGCGCAGUGGGUUGCUGGAAGUGUAGUAAAGUACUUCACCUGCUCCCUUCACCUGUCACAGUGAGAGGGGGGGUUAAGUGCCUGUGUUUUGAAAACAUUACUGAGGUUUAUUCUGAUAAAAGAUUAUGGCUUAGUUUAAGCUCUUCCUGCUUAAACAAGGUGGGUGCAAAGGAAAAUGGGGGCUGAAAGGAGGAGAUCCUAUGAGGGUAUCUACCAGCAACGGAAACGAGAAAAACCAGUUCUUAAACACUUCUAAAGCCUUCAUGGUAAAUAUUUACCAGUAAACAACCCAAUUGUUCAGUGUUUAUAUCUUGAAAAAGGUUUAUUUACUGUGUUUUGCCAGGAGUUUGAUGUAAAAUGAUACACUGUUAUUUACACGAGGCCAAAAACUCCAAUGAAGUCAACCUAAACAAAGCUUCAGAACUGCUUUUACAUUUAAGCACCAGAGGUAAUAACAACAAAAAAUACUACUUCUAAACAACCUGUGAUCAGAUAAAAGUCUCCUUCAGUUGCAGAAAGACUGCUUUUUAAUUGCCUGUUUCAUUUUCAAACGUACGAAUACUUAUCAGAACCCUUAGCAGUGACAACAACAAAAUCUAGCAUAAAUGAAAUUUCUAUGAUGAUGAAUAUUACCCCAGUAAAAAAAAAAGUUCAGCCCUUUCAAGUUAUUCACACAGUUAGGUCAUGGACAGCACAGUAGCACUUGCAGAAAGGUUAAAAUAGCAUCACUUUUCUUACUGUAACCACAGCUGUGCUCAGUUCUGACAUGAAUGAUUGCAGGGCUAAUAACAGUCCGUAAUACACAUGAAAUUCUCAGAA